RNAcentral lists this ribosomal RNA (228 nucleotides) under uncultured bacterium. RNAcentral's name for it is "partial 16S ribosomal RNA". It matches the Rfam family "Bacterial small subunit ribosomal RNA", at positions 118 to 347 of the family's 1533-position model. The record is from RNAcentral.
UGAGUAACCUGCCCUGGACUUUGGGAUAACCCUCGGAAACGGGGGCUAAUACCGGAUAUGACGGCUCACCGCAUGGUGUGGUUGUGGAAAGUUUUUCGGUCUGGGAUGGGCUCGCGGCCUAUCAGCUUGUUGGUGGGGUGAUGGCCUACCAAGGCGACGACGGGUAGCCGGCCUGAGAGGGCGACCGGCCACACUGGACUGAGCACGGCCAGACUCCGUACGGGAGCA